GGCCGCUUAGCUCAGCUGGUUAGAUCGCACGCUUCACACGAGACGCGAAGUGUCUGCCUGUGUACGCGUGAGGCCGACGGUUCGAGCCCGUCAGCGGUCA
Cutaneotrichosporon oleaginosum is the source of this 100-nucleotide non-coding RNA. The record is from the annotation of a RefSeq genome assembly. Lineage: Eukaryota; Fungi; Basidiomycota; Tremellomycetes; Trichosporonales; Trichosporonaceae.